GGGUGUGAGGGUGAUCUGGCUGCAGCAUCUGUCACCCCACUGAUGGCCAGGGUUGAUCUGGCCGAUCUGACUGGCUAGGCAGCUGUCCCUGUCCUCCUUCCUAGCUCCAUAUGCAACCCUCCUCAAUCUGCACACUUAGUCAAAGAGGACGACCUUCCUGAUGAAGGAGAACCACUCUGCAGUCAAGGAAAACAAGGAGCUGUGCUCCCCUGCCACAACCUCCGCACAAGCUCUCAAGGAAAUGAACAGAGAGAGGAUGCAGAGCUGAUUUGAGGGUAAAAUAAGCAGAAACCGAUGACUGGUUAC
Molecule: small nuclear RNA, 306 nt
Filed under: Castor canadensis (American beaver)
Lineage: Eukaryota; Metazoa; Chordata; Mammalia; Rodentia; Castoridae
Description: 7SK RNA (ENSCCNG00000024267.1)
Rfam family: 7SK RNA
About the family: 7SK was discovered as an abundant small nuclear RNA in the mid-70s but a possible function has only recently been suggested. Two independent studies have found that 7SK RNA binds the CDK9/cyclin T complex (known as elongation factor P-TEFb).
Source: Rfam by way of RNAcentral